AUUAUCCUUGAGGUAAAUGAGUUGGGUGGAAAAACGACAAAGCCCCUAUCUUCCUAUGUGUCCAAUGGAAACAUUAGCUUCAAAAAUAUGCAAUGAGUGUCAGCAAUAAUAGAAUACUAAAUAAUAGUUAAGUAUGUGAUUUUGCUAAUAUUAAAGCUCUUACAUAGACUCCGCUUUAAAACAUGAUGAAUUAUGAUUGUCUUAAUGACUAAGAACAUACUCCCUCCGUCCGGUGAAGAGUGUACAUUUGGGUUAAAAUUUUGUCCACAAAAGAUUGUACUUUUAUCUUACCAAUACACUUUAAAGUGGGGGGAAAUGUUUCUCUCCCAUCUUGUGGUAAUCAAGAUCAAUAAUAUUUUACACAUGGUCUCCUAAAUUUCUACAUUCACUUAGCUCAUUGGGUGUUUGGUAAUUAAAGAUUAGAGAGAUGAUGGCUUGCAUCUUUCCAAUGCAUUUUUUACUUCACUCCAUAAUUUUCCUAAAUUUUCUAUAUGCACACUUUUCAUCGGAUGGAGGGAAUAGUUUGUUGAUUCUCAAUAAAGUUUAUGCUUCACACUUUAAUAAUUGUGGAUGCAUUGUUACUUGUUUAUGACAAUAUAUAUGAUGAAAAACUUGUUGGUAUGUUAAUAUCCAUGAUGCUCUCAUGUUUGCAUUUUGUUUUUAUCGAUACCUCUGUCUCAAAUUAUGUGGAUAUUAUUUUUGACUUCGGCUUUCGCUUGAGGACAAGAGAGGUCUAAGAUUGG
Molecule: long non-coding RNA, 743 nt
Filed under: Hordeum vulgare
Lineage: Eukaryota; Viridiplantae; Streptophyta; Magnoliopsida; Poales; Poaceae
Description: long non-coding RNA (HVUL_LNC005622)
Source: RNAcentral